Molecule: ribosomal RNA, 492 nt
Filed under: uncultured bacterium
Lineage: Bacteria
Description: partial 16S ribosomal RNA
Rfam family: Bacterial small subunit ribosomal RNA
Source: RNAcentral
AGUGAACGCUGGCGGUAGGCCUAACACAUGCAAGUCGAACGGCAGCACAGUAAGAGCUUGCUCUUACGGGUGGCGAGUGGCGGACGGGUGAGGAAUACAUCGGAAUCUACUUUUUCGUGGGGGAUAACGUAGGGAAACUUACGCUAAUACCGCAUACGACCUACGGGUGAAAGCAGGGGAUCUUCGGACCUUGCGCGAUUGAAUGAGCCGAUGUCGGAUUAGCUAGUUGGCGGGGUAAAGGCCCACCAAGGCGACGAUCCGUAGCUGGUCUGAGAGGAUGAUCAGCCACACUGGAACUGAGACACGGUCCAGACUCCUACGGGAGGCAGCAGUGGGGAAUAUUGGACAAUGGGCGCAAGCCUGAUCCAGCCAUACCGCGUGGGUGAAGAAGGCCUUCGGGUUGUAAAGCCCUUUUGUUGGGAAAGAAAAGCAGCAGGUUAAUACCCCGCUGUUCUGACGGUACCCAAAGAAUAAGCACCGACUAACCUCGUG